Spinacia oleracea (spinach) is the source of this 739-nucleotide long non-coding RNA. RefSeq lists it as uncharacterized. NCBI's taxonomy places the organism in Eukaryota, Viridiplantae, Streptophyta, Magnoliopsida, Caryophyllales, Amaranthaceae. The transcript has 4 exons. The record is from RefSeq and is a predicted model, not a curated record.
CCACGACUGACCUCUACCCCUCCUUCCCCAAAAAUACAGAACCACGAGCAACCUCCAUUACUAACUCCCACUUCUCUCCACUUCUCCGGUCUCCACGGCGCACUUCUCCGGUCUCUACGGCGCACUUCUCCGGUCACAGGGCGACGUGAUUCACUAUGGAACAUCAUACAUAUGCGCAAGAAAAUUCAAUCAUAAAAAGUAAAUUAGAAAAAACAACCAAAAUAUACCACCCACCAUUGUUGCUGCUAGUAAGCUGUUACUUUCAUCGAUCGGUUCUGCACUCGAGUUCAUUGGAAUUGGAAGAUUCAUUCGAAGAUUCAUCGGAAUUGAAAGAUAAAGAAGGGCGCUCCUGCUAUCCUUUGAAGUUGGUUCAGAAGUUGAAGUUUUAGCUGAGAAGUUCCUGUCCUGGACAAAGUGAACAAGUCAGACAUAGCGAAGGAGAUUCUAGAGGUGUUGGUGACUAGUAGUAGCAGAUAUAUAUUCUUUGUUGAUUAAGGUCUUUAUGCAUGGAGGAUAUAGAAGACUUGUAUAAUGAUGGGAUGUCUAGGGACAAUGAUCCCUUGUGUUAUGAGCAUCCAACUGAGACGGAGCAUGAUAUUUCUCAAAAAGGCACUAAAAGGUAUCGAGGUGAAGUAAAAGGGUUAAAGUCCCCUAAUGUGCCAAAAUUCCUAGAAUGGGAUUCAUUUAAUCGACCAACUGGUCAUUGGUUGAAGGACUAUAGGCAACAAAUUGGGAAGAC